CCUUGAUGUGUAGGAUAGGUGGGAGGCUUUGAAGUGUGGACGCCAGUCUGCAUGGAGCCGACCUUGAAAUACCACCCUUUAAUGUUUGAUGUUCUAACGUUGACCCGUAAUCCGGGUUGCGGACAGUGUCUGGUGGGUAGUUUGACUGGGGCGGUCUCCUCCUAAAGAGUAACGGAGGAGCACGAAGGUUGGCUAAUCCUGGUCGGACAUCAGGAGGUUAGUGCAAUGGCAUAAGCCAGCUUGACUGCGAGCGUGACGGCGCGAGCAGGUGCGAAAGCAGGUCAUAGUGAUCCGGUGGUUCUGAAUGGAAGGGCCAUCGCUCAACGGAUAAAAGGUACUCCGGGGAUAACAGGCUGAUACCGCCCAAGAGUUCAUAUCGACGGCGGUGUUUGGCACCUCGAUGUCGGCUCAUCACAUCCUGGGGCUGAAGUAGGUCCCAAGGGUAUGGCUGUUCGCCAUUUAAAGUGGUACGCGAGCUGGGUUUAGAACGUCGUGAGACAGUUCGGUCCCUAUCUGCCGUGGGCGCUGGAGAACUGAGGGGGGCUGCUCCUAGUACGAGAGGACCGGAGUGGACGCAUCACUGGUGUUCGGGUUGUCAUGCCAAUGGCACUGCCCGGUAGCUAAAUGCGGAAGAGAUAAGUGCUGAAAGCAUCUAAGCACGAAACUUGCC
This 670-nucleotide ribosomal RNA is filed under the name Escherichia coli. RNAcentral's name for it is "partial 23S ribosomal RNA". It matches the Rfam family "Bacterial large subunit ribosomal RNA", at positions 2129 to 2798 of the family's 2925-position model. The record is from RNAcentral. Lineage: Bacteria; Pseudomonadati; Pseudomonadota; Gammaproteobacteria; Enterobacterales; Enterobacteriaceae.